RNAcentral lists this ribosomal RNA (253 nucleotides) under uncultured bacterium. RNAcentral describes it as "partial 16S ribosomal RNA". It matches the Rfam family "Bacterial small subunit ribosomal RNA", at positions 524 to 776 of the family's 1533-position model. The record is from RNAcentral.
UACAGAGGGGGCAAGCGUUAUUCGGAAUUAUUGGGCGUAAAGGGCGCGUAGGUGGUCAGGUAAGUCAAAGGUGAAAUCCCUCGGCUCAACCGAGGAACUGCCUUUGAUACUGCCAGACUUGAGGCCGGGAGAGGGUAGCGGAAUUCCCAGUGUAGCGGUGAAAUGCGUAGAUAUUGGGAGGAACACCGGUGGCGAAGGCGGCUACCUGGACCGGUUCUGACACUGAGGCGCGAAAGCGUGGGGAUCAAACAGG